UAUUCAGGCAGUGGCCAGCAAGCCUUGGCUGCGUUACGACGUGCAUCUCGUCCGUGAGCAUCUCCACCCGCGUUACGCGAGACGAGCCUGACUUGCAUUCGUGGCGGUUGGCUCUGGCCCCCGUAGAGACACAAAAAGCCCUGCCCUAAGGCCUCCGUAAGCGCUCUCACAAUUCUUUUUCUUCGUUUUUGUCCCGUUAAUUUGUGUUCGCGAGAACGCGCGCGUGUCGUGUCCCGUUCCUUACUAAGAGGACAGAGAACGUAGUGCUGGUUGAGGGAGGAUAUCGCGCGAGCUCAGCUGAGGGAGAGUGCAUAGUGUGUGUGGUGCGUGCGUCAAACAUAACCUAGACGAGGAUCGGAAGGCGUCCUCCUCUCAUUGGUAAAUAAAGUGCUAAUACGUGGGGAUAACAGUGACUAGAAAUUUGCCGAGAGCUUAGAGUACUCUCUGGUGGUAAUAUAUAGUGUCGGUUGUGUAUUGUGUCGCUUUAUAUAUAUUGCAAAUGGGUCGAAGGUCUAUCUGUGCUAGAAGCGGUUAGCCAAACGAGUGUGUAUGUACAGCCUUAUCCCUCACGACGCGCUACCAACUACUAAUCCUACUCUUCCCUCUUUUCCUCACUACCAUUUCCUCCUUCACGCUCUAUCUCCAUCGUUCUUUUCGCACGCUGUCAUUCUCUCAGGCUGGCAACUUCCUUUUUUCUAUCGUGAGCAAGUUCCUUGGCCAGAACCUCGAAGGUACGCGGCAUUCUUGUCAGUGGCUCAAAAGCUCUCUACGUUUAUGCGAAAGAAGUCUUGAUAAGAAAAUGUGAUAACAUUGGCUAUAUCACGGAUUCGUACUAAACAAUAAUAAAGUCAUCCUCGCUAAAAUCGGAUAUUCUUCCUUUCCCAGGUUCAACGAAUAUUCUUCGCAUCCCUUUGUGCACUGUGAUUUAAAUAAAAGAGCACAAGGUCGUUGAUUGGCUGACUUGGAAAAUAAGCAGACGUCAUAACUCUUAUCGUUAACGAUAAGAAGAGGACCCUCAAGAAGAAUAAUAAGCCAGCGUCGUGAUUUCUUAAGACCGUGGUCAUAAACUACCCCGAGGACACCAUCCCAAGAGGAAUCCGAAUGAGGUUAUAUCGAAAUCCUGUCUAACCUAUUCUCGCUGGAUUCGUCUUUUCCUGAUCCGCCCGUGGCUGUACUCACUGGUCACUUGUCUGAAGGUAAACAAAGGCGCGAACUACUCGUGAAAAGUAAAAGGAUUAGCUGGAAGAGGGUAGUGAAAAUACCUAGGGGAUAGUCAAAGACACGUAUAAAGGAUUCAGGUAUAUUAAGAAUUCCUGAUUACCGUACGAAAAGUGAAUCGACAAAGUUAAACCAGUGCAAUAAUCGUGAGAAAGUAAAGGAAGUGGCAUUUGAGCCUCUAACGUUUUGAGUGUUUAAAGAGAAAUUCGAGUGCGGGUGGUGAAGUUCCAAGAGGUUUCACUGAAUGUGAGGAACAGGAAUAUCUAAAGCUGAAACCAAAGCCAGGAGAGACAAACUGGGACGAGAAGAAAAGAAAAGCAUUAAAGGACUAAGGAUAUAAAGCGGACUGGUGAAGAAGAAGGUGGGUGCCAGUAAAAGACGAGGAGGAAGAGGGUGGCCGAACGUAGGGAUACCUAGGAAGGAUUUGAUGGCAGUAGUGGGGCCCAGCCGGCACUCCCGGGUGUCCAUGAGCGUGUCUAUGUCUUUAAUGCAGGGGGCCGGGGCUGGGGCAACCGGCGGCGGGUCUACGGGGGCCCAUCCGGGCCAGGCGGUCCUGGCAGCGGCUGCUGCAGCCGCGGCCCAGGCACCACCUACGUAUUAUCAUCCUGCAGCCCCAGCACCACCACCCCCACCACCACCUCAGGAUCCUGUGCAGCCUGACAGACCCAUCGGUUAUGGAGCCUUUGGCGUUGUUUGGGCCGUCACGGAUCCGAGGGACGGCAGAAGAGUGGCCUUGAAGAAACUGCCGAACGUCUUUCAGAGUCUCGUCAGCAGCAAAAGAGUCUUCAGGGAGCUGAAGAUGCUCUGCUUCUUCAAACACGAGAACGUACUGUCUGCUCUGGAUAUCCUGCAGCCGCCGCAUCUCGACUUCUUCCAGGAAAUAUACGUUAUCACGGAGCUACUACAGAGUGACCUGCACAAGAUCAUCGUGAGUCCACAGCAUCUUAGCUCGGAUCAUAUCAAGGUCUUCCUCUAUCAGAUUCUACGGGGACUGAAGUAUCUUCACUCGGCCAGAAUCCUGCACAGGGACAUCAAGCCUGGAAAUCUUCUCGUGAACAGCAACUGCGUCCUGAAGAUCUGUGAUUUUGGCUUGGCCAGGGUGGAAGAACCGGACAAGAACAAACACAUGACGCAGGAAGUGGUGACGCAAUAUUAUCGGGCGCCAGAAAUCCUCAUGGGAGCGAGACACUACUCGGCAGCGGUGGACGUCUGGAGCGUGGGCUGCAUCUUCGGGGAGCUUCUUCGUAGGCGAAUCCUCUUUCAAGCACAAAGUCCAGUUCAGCAGCUUGAGCUCAUCACGGAACUCCUAGGAACGCCGACCCUGGAAGACAUGAGGUACGCCUGCGAGGGUGCACGGUCACACAUGCUGAGACGCGCCCCUAAGCCGCCAGCGUUAACGUCCCUCUACACCCUGAGCAGUCAGGCAACGCACGAGGCAGUUCAUCUGCUCUGUCAGAUGCUGGUGUUUGAUCCUGACAAGAGGAUCACUGUCGUGGACGCCCUGGCUCAUCCGUAUCUCGACGAAGGUAGACUACGUUAUCACUCCUGCAUGUGCACCUGCUGCUACACAACGAACGCAGGCAUGAGGCAGUACACGACCGACUUCGAGCCAGCAACGCCGCAUCCCUUCAACGAUCACUGGGAACGAAAGCUAACGAGCGUACAGCAGGUCAAAGAGGAAAUGCACAAAUUUAUAGCGGAACAGCUGAACACGUCGCGCGUGCCCCUCUGCAUAAAUCCGCAGUCCGCGGCUUUCAAGAGUUUCGCAAGGUAAGCCCCCUUUGAUGGGAGUGCGAAAUACGUCGCCAGGCACACCUACCAACCAACCAACCAAAACCAACCAAACCAACCAACCACAAAACAACCAAACGCCAACCAACCAAAACCCUGAAUAUCCGCCGUAUAUAUAUAUAUUAUAUAUACCUGCACUAACGUGCACUUCUAUAUAUGGUUUAUAUAUGACAUAUACGAUGCGAGCGAGUCUCGCGCGACAGACAUGCAAUUUGGGUCCUGCCACUUUUUCCUGAUAAAAAAAAAAUCUACGGUAUAUAUACUUUACAAAAUAUAUAUACGAAAGCAAGCGAACUGCCGUCGUCGCACGAUAGUUGGCCAUUGUCAGCUAUCGGAAAAACCUCUUUCAUCGGGCAGCACGAGCAUAACAGGGCUGCGUGUCGGCUGGAGCAAAGGGGAGAGGAAGUGUAUGCGAAAAAUGGAGAAUAGAGGGAAAACGAUGGGAACAAGAGGAAUGACAAUGGAAUAAUAUUUUACGAUGAAAAUGACUUCCCUUGAACGAUGCCCAUUAGAGCAAGCCACCUGCCAACCCAGCACCGUGCGCCGCGUAUACGUACACAUUACCACUACCGAAUCAGCUAUCUACCACUGUCAGCUACCACUAUCGACUACUACUAUCAUCUACUACUACUACUACUACCACUACUACUACUACUACUACCAAUCGUUACGUCUCCUCCUGAACGAAUGAAUGACCGAGAAAUCAGCUAUAGUCGGAACAACCUCGCUCGCAGAGCUCCACGGUGGCGCAUCCCAUGGACCUGCCACCCUCGCCCCAGCAAUGGGAAUAAAGCACAGCUCGCUCCCAGAGACCUGGAAGCGAUUCCACGCAGGCAAUCCUAAGAGAGGAGAGCGAGUGGAAGGCGAAGAACAGGGCAGGCCGAAAAGGGAAGCGAACCCGCAAGAUAAUCCCAAGGAAGUACGAGCGAAGAUAAGAAGUAAAAGAAGUGGAGGAUCGUUUGGAUGUCCUGGGAUCAUCGUAUUUUGAAGCCCGUGAAGAGCCACGAGAGACAAUAGACUGCCGAGCAUGUAGCCUCAAUUUUUCGACUAGCUGAAUAUAAAUAGUACUAGGGAACGAGAACGCGGUAGACGCGGAUGAAGAAGAAGAAGAAGAAGAAGACGGAAGACGAAGAGGCGGAAGACGAAAGACAAAGGAACUUUGCCGUAGUGCAAAUGUAAGGCGUUGCGGAUAAGAGAGCGGCAAGAGUUGUGUGGAUGAAGUGCGCUAUGCCAAAAUGAGAGAAUGGGGGGAAGAGGGGGUUGGGCGGAUAUAGAAGAUGAGGAUAAAGGGAGAUAAAAAGAAUAGGGUUGAAAACAGAGUACACUGUACAGAAGGCGGCGAAUGGCGCAGUGAAAGAUGCGACCCAGAAGAAAGAACUAUAUAUAUAUAUAUAUAUAUAUAUAUAUAUAUAUAUAUAUAUAUAUAUACACGUAAAUAUAUAUAUAUAUGGAGGAAUAGUAAACGGGCCAGUUCUUAGAUUUUCAUUUACACAAAGACAGCUGGCAUUUAUUGACUAUAUAUACAAACAUUAUACAUAUAUAAAUGCGUCUCUGUAUAUGUAUAUAUAUAUAAUUAUAUUAUUAUUAUUAUAUACAUACACACGCAUGCAGUACGAAUAGGUAUUAAAAUAUUAGUUUUUAACGUGUAAAUGCCGAAUGCGUUGAAUGGCGUCUCGCGUGCAGCGACGUCCCCGUUGCGUUUCCUUCUCUUAUCUUUUUUCUUCUUUUUUCUCCCUCGUUCCGUGCGUUCAGCGAGAGCGCGAACGACGCUAUUCCCAGGAUAAUACAAUAAGAUAGAGAAAGAUAGCGGACGUACAGGACGCGACCCCAAGUUCACAAGUACUUACAAGAUGGUAGAACGCUGGGUAGAGUGAAAGUGUGAAAAAUUUGGAAAAAAUUGCGGCUCUCCGCGAACGAGGAGUCUCGCGUCACGGGAAAUUUCCUAAUAAAAAUGUAUUAUCUUUUAAAUGCGAUCGAUCACUGUGUUGUCGCGCAGAUGCGAUCCUCCACGUGGAAUUCCCAGUGGCGUCGGAGAGCCGUCUCGGUUAGGCGUGUAGUAGGAAGGUGCAAUUCCUAAUGUAAAAGGUGACAUGCGCGCCCACGCUGUUGAAGAGGGACGAGAAGAAAAAUUGGGGAGAAAGUGCGAGAAUGACCAUUGGUGAAAUGGCGAGAGUGAAAUAGAGGGAAAGGAAGGUGGCGAGAUAAAUUAAAGAGGCGUCAGGCGGAGAGUAACGAUGAAUUUCAAUAUCACUGCCGAAGAAUCUUAGCGUGCGCGAUCCGAACGAUAAUGCGCGCUUGGAGGGUCAGUGGCGCAUAGAGAAGUCAAGGGACAGAGAGAGAGAGAGAGAGAGAGAGAGAGAGAGAGAGAGAAAUGUGAGAAAGGUUCGGGAGGAAAAAAGAAAAGGAGAAUGAGAAAAGGCGCAAAGAGGUGUGUACGUAGGGGGCGAUUAAUAGUCGCAUAGAAAUAAUCCACGUUGUAAAUAUAAGUAAGACAACUGCACGAGCGUUUAUUUUUUAACGUGUAGCGGGAUAGCAUUUUUUUGCCUGGCGAUAAUUUUCGCGCGGCUGCCCUGCGACGUCCCGCACGAGACGUGCCGGAGUUACUUUAUUCCCGCGCCGUCGACCUAGAACGAUUUUAAGGUGUGUACACACGGUUUCACGUAGCUUUCACGUACUGUUAGUAUUUUCAUUGAUAAUGGCGCGAAAUCGGCACUGGCUUUAUAUGAAUACGUUCUGAGUGUGAUUUUAGAAUAAGAGGUAAAAAAAAACAGUAACCGCUAGACAUCCGUUCAGGGAAUAAUUUACGACACCCUGAGCAAAGUGUAUCUUAUAAGCUUUAAGAACUAGGGAGGACGGUGAUCGCCGUUAUCUUUGUUUCUCCUUCUGUGCUUUUCUUUUUCUCUUUCCUUUAUUAUUAUCGCGCCGACAAGAAAGCGCGAUUCUCGUUGUCUCUUCUUUUUUUUUCUUCUCGUCUCAGUACCUUCCUUUUUUUUUAUUGAGUUUCUCACUUCUGCGAAAGUGCGCAAGGUACUCUGGUGGACGAUUUAAGUAGCUUUUAAUAACCGUGACGCGCAUGCGCGGCGCGAUUCACUAUACGUAGGGAAGUAAUACGUCGAGCGCGGACUUAGGCAAUUAUUCUGCGUUAUUUACUCGCGAUGCUUUCGUAGGGUCCACAUUUGGUCUCGUUCUCAAUGAAAGUUACGAGAGAAAUACCGGAAGCGGAUUUUACGUUGCUCGUAGCAGCCGUGGAAGAAAUAUUAUUUUUAGUUUUCUACGCGAUCCGAGUUUUACGAACAAACAAUGCAAGAGCUACGUGUAUCCUGUAAUAUUGUAAAUUACUCUAGGUACUCCAGUUUAGUUUUACUUCUUUGAACUAUCUUUGUUCUUACUUUUUUUUUUUCUUUUUUUUCUUUUAAUUACUUUUGCAUUUUCCUUUAUCGUCUCUGGUUUUUUUAUCUGUAUUUCUUUUUCAAAUCUUGUCCGUUGUUAUUCUGAUCACUUCACUGUCUCGUCUAACGCGGCGGACAUGAUAUUCGCUCAUUUGUACAUAUGUCAUUUCAUAUCUGUAUAUAGUUCACGUACAACACUACAUUACUUGCGUUACGUGCGUUGCGUAUCAUACCAUUUACGUCAUUUAGAUCGUCGAUUCGUCCUGAUAUUUCUGCAAUCGAUUGUAGGCCAAUUUUUUUAAUUAAGAAAAUAAUAACGCCUGUAAUUUUAAGACACGAAAAUUAGCGUUCCACUAGUGCGAGAGAAACGAAAUUUUGGCAUUUUUUUUUUAAUCGUUACCGAAAGUUUUGCUUUUUUUUAAUUUAUCGGUCAUUAUUAUUUUUUUUUUCUUUUUUAUCCAUAUCCGACGUAGCAUCUACUAUUCAUUAGUUACGCGUCAAUCACUUUUUUUAAGCAAACGACUUCGUGUCGCAAUUUUAUAUGGAUCCUCCAACCGAAAGUUACAUCGGAUUCAAGAAUACGUGCGAAAUUUAUCUUUUAACGUAUUUGACAGGGAAAUCAUUGAAAUUUGGAAAAAUAUUGCUGUAUAACAAAAUUCGUCUCCUACUGGCAGGUAAUCGAUGCCGACAUGUAAAAAGCUCUAAAAGUCGCGGAGAGCUUUCGGAUAUUUUUCACUAAAAUCAAUUUUAGAAAUUAAGUUUGUGCAGAGGCGUCGUGAAACUUCAAUUCGAAUAUUUUGAAAAAUGAAAAAAAAAAAGCGAAAAUACAGCAGGACGUUAAACGCAAAGUCGGCUCACAAAGAUUUUGUAUUUCCAUUUGUGUCUCUUAAAUCAUACAAAAUCUGCGUAUCAACCAUUGUAAAUAAUAAAGCGUUACGAAAGGCUACAGAGGAGUAUCAGUAUAACUUAACAAAAAAAAAAAAAAAAAACACAAGAUCAGAUGGAAAAGGAGGUUCGAAUGGAGUAAAUACAAAUAAUAAAAAAAAAUGCAAAAUGUAAAAAAAAGUUCUCUCGCGACUAAUGGAUACUUCUGUAAUCGUAACUGUUUGCUGUAUUACGAUUAGCAAUUACGAGGCAGACUUUUACUCUAUUUAUGUCUGUUUGUUUUUUAUAUACAUGCAUAUAUGUAUAUAUACUACACAUCAUUUCGUCCUCUAUACAUGAUGAAAAAUGCUCUCCGAAUGAAUCUUCGAAGUUUAAUGUUAAUUUUUUUUAAAAAGCACGAUUGCGAUUGGCCAGAAUAAAUUAUUGUCACGAAGAAUGAAAAGCGUGUGAAAAUAUUAAGAGAUUAAGAGAAAAUAUCUUUAUACGCUGUAGCAUCAGAGGAGGUAUAUAAAUAGGUAGUUGGGAAUGAAUUAGAGUUAACGAAGCAGCGAUAAAAUUUAUGGGUAUAAGGAAAACAUGAAAAGAAAGAAAUCAAUCGCCACAUAAUGACGGAUCGAUGACGAAUAAGAGUUAUUUGGUAAAGUUAAAAAAAAAAGUUGUCAAACAGCACGAGGAAACGGAGAUAAAUUUUUUGAGAAAAUUGCAAACGUAAUUCACUUGAGAGAAUGACUUGUAAAUAGUUUUUCUUUUUUAUUUUUCUUUUUUCAUUCUCUCUCCGUUCGCUCACGGUCCAAGGAGCCAUUGACGUCCUGCCAAUAGCCAAUAAAUGCUGCCGUUUUUACAAUCACCCCAUGACGCGUUUCGAUGAAGAAUAGAGAGAGCCCAACUAAUCAUUUUUUUUUUUCCCUUACAUUUACCGCAGUCGAUUAAAAAAUCUUUCUCCGAUUUCUAUAUCCUUUCCUCGUAAGGCUUACGGCAACUGCGCGCGACCCUCGAAUAUGUAUUUUAAUUCUUGCGUUCUUUUGCUUUCAUUCUCAUGCAAAAGACGGAGGACACCGUAUACUUUCAAGUCCUCUGACUCGAGAGAAAUCUUCGAUUUUUUUAAGUUCUUUUACGACCGAUCUCAUCGUCCGCGAUUUCUCGUCAUCGUGACGAUCGUUCCCGGCGACGGCGACUGCGACGACAAUCGUCGACGACGGGAAACCCGUGUACUAAUUCUUUCCAGAAAGUGAACGGUGACGGGAAGGACACCCACGCGGCUCCCGUUAAACGUCAGACUGUCGCCACGUGGGUUUUGAACUUGUCAAAUUUUUGUUUUUAACCUUCGUCCUUAACCUAUCGAGAAUAGAUGGGAAAGAAGAACGAAAUUCGCGAAAUCGAUCGUCCACGUGGCGACGACGUAAGAAGGGAGGCGACAAGGUGCGCGCGACUUUUAGGGCGACACGACGAGUGUAGUAGAGUAGAUGAGUCUUUCUUUAUAUAUAUAUAUAUAUAUAUAUAUGAUCUGUUUAUUUCCAAUGGUUACUCUUAACUGUUGCAAAUAAACAAAUAGUUGACACGCAAGAGAAAUGAAGAAAAACAAAAAAAGUUUAAUGUUUCCUAUUAAGGUAAUCGCCAAGUAUAGAGAGAGAGAGAGAAAAAACGAUAACGAGAAUACGAAAGAGAAAGGCAAAAAAUAACGAAAACUUAAUGAGAUGCAAAAAGCAUACUUUGUAAAUACGUAGCUCACUGUAGCUGGUCAGUUGGGCAUUUAAUUACACGUGACAGAGACAGUACACGCAUUUAUAGAUACACACUUUCCCCUCGCUGUAAAAAAUUAGGUCACGCACGUCAUGCAUCUCACGCGUGUGUAACUGAUAAGGGGUACGAAUACAAAAAUAAAUAAUAAAAAAUGGCGACGCUUUUCGCGAAUUUAAUUUUCACGUUGAGUCGUCGAUAUUAGACUUAUACAUAUUAUACAUACGUACGGAGUUGUUAUACCUGGCAUAUGCACACGCAUGAGAGAUAGACAACACACAUGCGAUACACGAUUAAAUUAUAUAAUAACGAGGCUAGGUGAUAAUGCGUAAAUCGUUAAGGUACCUACGUUAUAUAUAUAUAUAUAUAUUAAAUAAUUAAAAAAAAAAAGAUAUACCCUACAAUAGCGAAUAUGCCUUCAUUAUGGAAAGUGGCUGGCACAAGAUGCACCAAACAAUAAAGUUGCUACAGAAAUACAAGAGAAUCUCUUGAGAACGUCAUUGCGAUCGAUCGCGACAGAUCGAUCGGCAUAAAAUUUCGCAGAUUUCCUUUAUAUCCAAUUUUUUUUUAAUUUCCCAAAAAAAAAGAGUAACCCGUCCAACAAAAUUUUCCAUUCGAUCCGUCUAUUCCAAUUUUUUGUUUUCAGGUAAUUUUACGUUGAGCUAAAUUUUUAUGAUUUAUGUGUAUUUUUUUUUUUUACUUUUAUUCCCGUUAUUAACCGUUUCGUGCACAAGAGUCUAACGCAUGUGGGAAGAUGAAAAAUAAAAAUAAAAAAUGAUAGGACACGUACGGUUCACGCAGACAGAUACGGGAUACAGAGAAUCGAUUCUAAAUGCAGCAACUUUGUUGUUGCUACUGUUUUCCUGUAUUCUUGUAUAUAUAUAUAUAUAUAUAUAUUAUAAGUGCGACACUCAAGCGUUAACUGUAGGGAAACACCGUAUGGUUUAUUACUGUCAUUAUUACUGUGUAAUGAAUACGAUUUUAAUGAACUUUAUCGAGUCGAUACGUCGCGUAGUUCGAGGGGGCACGCAAGUAACAGGUGAAAUGUUUGUCGCUUUGGUAUAUCAGGUAGGAGAUUUAGCGGUCAGAAAAAAAAAAAAAAA
RNA transcript from Cephus cinctus (wheat stem sawfly), 10123 nucleotides. It is a transcript of the gene named serine/threonine-protein kinase NLK, with no coding region annotated. Lineage: Eukaryota; Metazoa; Arthropoda; Insecta; Hymenoptera; Cephidae. The record is from RefSeq and is a predicted model, not a curated record. The transcript has 11 exons.